GCACUUGUAGCUCAGUUGGAUAGAGCAUAGGCCUCCGACGCCUAGGGUCGCAGGUUCGAAUCCUGUUAGGUGCA
This is a transfer RNA of Anaerosporobacter mobilis DSM 15930, 74 nucleotides long. It matches the Rfam family "tRNA". Rfam says of the family: Transfer RNA (tRNA) molecules are approximately 80 nucleotides in length. Their secondary structure includes four short double-helical elements and three loops (D, anti-codon, and T loops). Further hydrogen bonds mediate the characteristic L-shaped molecular structure. tRNAs have two regions of fundamental functional importance: the anti-codon, which is responsible for specific mRNA codon recognition, and the 3' end, to which the tRNAs corresponding amino acid is attached (by aminoacyl-tRNA synthetases). tRNAs cope with the degeneracy of the genetic code in two manners: having more than one tRNA (with a specific anti-codon) for a particular amino acid; and 'wobble' base-pairing, i.e. permitting non-standard base-pairing at the 3rd anti-codon position. The record is from Rfam. NCBI's taxonomy places the organism in Bacteria, Bacillati, Bacillota, Clostridia, Lachnospirales, Lachnospiraceae.